Molecule: ribosomal RNA, 374 nt
Filed under: uncultured eukaryote
Lineage: Eukaryota
Description: partial 18S ribosomal RNA
Rfam family: Eukaryotic small subunit ribosomal RNA
Source: RNAcentral
CAAGAGCGUAUGUAAAAGUUGUUGCAGUUAAAAAGCUCGUAGUUGAACCUUGGGUUUGGUUGGCCGGUCCGCUUUUUUGCGAGUACUGGAUUCAACCGAGCCUUUCCUUCUGGCUAACCAGUCGUUUCGGCGGCUGGCGAACCAGGAUUUUUACUUUGAGAAAAUUAGAGUGUUCAAAGCAGGCAUUAGCUUGAAUAUAUUAGCAUGGAAUAAUAGAAUAGGACGUUAUGGUUCUAUUUUGUUGGUUUCUAGGACCAUCGUAAUGAUUAAUAGGGACGGUCGGGGGCAUCAGUAUUCAGUUGCCAGAGGUGAAAUUCUUGGAUUUACUGAAGACUAACUACUGCGAAAGCAUUUGCCAAGGACGUUUUCAUUAA